Molecule: ribosomal RNA, 426 nt
Filed under: uncultured prokaryote
Description: bacterial SSU rRNA
Rfam family: Bacterial small subunit ribosomal RNA
Source: RNAcentral
UGGGGAAUUUUGGACAAUGGGGGAAACCCUGAUCCAGCGACGCCGCGUGGAGGAUUGAAGGUCUUCGGAUCGUAAACUCCUUUUAGAGGGGACGAAUGUACGGUAUGUAACUAUAUCGUAUUGACUGUACCCUCAGAAUAAGUCACGGCUAACUACGUGCCAGCAGCCGCGGUAAUACGUAGGUGGCUAGCGUUACUCGGAUUUACUAGGCGUAAAGCGCAUGUAGGCGGUUGGAUAAGUCGACUGUUAAAGCCCCUGGCUUAACCAGGGGAGGUCGGUCGAAACUGUUUAACUUGAGUUUGGUAGAGGUAACUGGAAUUCCCGGUGUAGCGGUGAAAUGCGUAGAUAUCGGGAGGAAUACCAAUGGCGAAGGCAGGUUACUGGACCAAUACUGACGCUCAGAUGCGAAAGCUAGGGGAGCAAACA